Molecule: long non-coding RNA, 310 nt
Filed under: Citrus maxima (pomelo)
Lineage: Eukaryota; Viridiplantae; Streptophyta; Magnoliopsida; Sapindales; Rutaceae
Description: long non-coding RNA (CMAX_LNC002724)
Source: RNAcentral
AAGCAUCAGGUUACUGUAUUACACAGAGAUAUUUACAAAUGACAACAUAUCAUUGCACUGAUAUUUACAAUCAGAUAUAUAUCUGGGACUUACAUUAUACAUUUUUUUCUAUGAAGUACAUGCCCAGCCAAAUACCCCUCAAAGAAGAGGGAUGUCUCGACUCCACUCGCAUUUCACAAGGGAGAAAGACGUUAUAAACAAUCUCCACACAAUUAUAAUUAAUUGAGGGAGUUUGAGUCCGUAGGGACUCGAACCAUUACCCUCAUAGUCAUGCUUGACUUUAAGGGCAAUCGUUCACCACCGGGCCACA